This is a long non-coding RNA of Mirounga angustirostris (Northern elephant seal), 1034 nucleotides long. RefSeq lists it as uncharacterized. The transcript is spliced from 4 exons. The record is from RefSeq and is a predicted model, not a curated record. Lineage: Eukaryota; Metazoa; Chordata; Mammalia; Carnivora; Phocidae.
CCCAUCUCCCAUUUCUUGAGGGGAUCAGGAGAGUUCAAUCACACUUUCAUUGUCAAUUUCUAGACCACUUUCCUCACUUGAUGGUUCGUCUGUCUUUAUGUUUUCCUCCACCUUAUUACUGUUUUUUCUUCCUUCAUAUUGUCUUCUGAUUUAGUUUUAUGAGCAGCAUGUGACAUUUUACCCACCAUGCUCUCCACCCACUCUGACAGGAAGCACAUUUCCUUGGUGUACAGAAUGAUCGGAUCCUGCUUACACAUUUUCACCAAGGCCUGAAGCUCAUUCACUCUGUGGGGAUCCAUGGUCCAGAGGCAAUGGGAGGUCAGGAGGUAGCAAGAACAACAGAGGUUGCAGCCUGAUACCAGAUUCAAAAGCACUAAUGACUACUUCCAUUGGUGAAGAGAACACGGAUAGUCUGUGGUGUGAUGUGACAAUAGAGAUUCAAAAGUAUCACCAUCGGAUACUCCUAAUCAAAUACUUAUGAGGUCAGAAAUUAUAGUGGGAACAGCUGUCACUGACUUGGAAAACCUAAAUGCCGUGGAAGUAAUUGAAUCCCAAGGUGUCAAAGGCCAAGUGGUUCUAUUUAAUCACCAAAGGCAAGGUGGUCAUGGUUGCUCUAAUGGAUAGCAGAAUCAAAGCAGCAAUUAGAAUAUUAUGACUUGCAGAGAGCUACGGCACUGGCUAGCUAAUCAUGAUAUUUCUAGGAGUAAAAUGCAUGGACAUUGUCCUAGAAACCCAGUCACCAUUCUAUGAGGAAGCCCAAUCUGCACAGAGAGAAAAGGAGGCCACAGGCCCUCAGACUCAGCUAUCUAUCCUUGGAUAAAUAGCACCAACUUGCCAUCCAUGGAAAUGAGCCAUCUUGGAUAUGGAUCCCUAACCCUAAAUUGUGCUCCCCAAAUGAUGCCAUAUGGGGCAAACACAAGCCUUUCCUUUUGAGUCUUGCUCAGAUUGCAUGAGCAAAAUAAAGAACUGUUGUUAUUUUAAGCCACAAAAUUUAGGAGUUUGUAAUACAGCAAUAAAUAACUGGAACAUUCAUA